RNAcentral lists this long non-coding RNA (431 nucleotides) under Fukomys damarensis (Damara mole-rat). RNAcentral describes it as "lncRNA (ENSFDAG00000024024.1)". The record is from RNAcentral. Lineage: Eukaryota; Metazoa; Chordata; Mammalia; Rodentia; Bathyergidae.
CUUCCUCCCUCCCCUCCCAGUCUGGCACCCAUGAUCCGGGUGGCAAUGACUACCCUCCAAGUAGACUGCCCGCGGGGCCCAAAUGGCUCAGGUCACUUCUCCAUAGCCCCGGGCUCGGAUUCCCAGAGGACCACCGGCGAAGUGGCGUGAAGGAAUGAACUACCUAAUGGAUCGGUGCCCAGCUGAGGACUUUGGACCUCAUCCUGCAGGAAGCCGUGGGCCUGUCCAGAGGAAGGGGACAGCCAGGGGCCUGGAUGGAGUCUUAAAUUCCUUCCUCCUGGAGUCCGCUUCCGGCCCUAGGCCUCGGUUUCCAGGACCCAGGAUCCCCGCCUCCCGAAGCCGGACGUCCCGGAUCUACGCCACCUGGGCGCUGCUGGCCACGGGCAGCCGAGGACCUCGGGUCUCAGCCAGCACCCAGAGCCGCGAAAGCC